RNAcentral lists this ribosomal RNA (456 nucleotides) under Wagneriana spicata. Its description in RNAcentral is "partial large subunit ribosomal RNA". It matches the Rfam family "Bacterial large subunit ribosomal RNA", at positions 1827 to 2606 of the family's 2925-position model. Lineage: Eukaryota; Metazoa; Arthropoda; Arachnida; Araneae; Araneidae. The record is from RNAcentral.
CAUUUCUUACUGAAAUUAUUGUAAGUAACACCUGCUCAAUGAUAAUUCAAUAGCCGCGGAAUUUUAACCGUGCUAAGGUAGCAUAAUCAUUAGCCUCUUAAUUAGGGGCUCGCAUGAAGGGUGAAACAUUUCAGAUACUUUAUUUAUUAAUUUUUUUUAAGUUAAACUAAGAAUAAAAAUGUUCUUAUAAUUAAAAUAGACGAUAAGACCCUUUUGAACUUUACUUUAGUUUGGCUGGGGCAGCCAAAAAAUAAUUAUCUUUUUCUAAUUCUUUCAAUAAAUGACCCAAUAAAAUUGAGUAAUUGAACAACGUUACCAUAGGGAUAACAGCGUAAUAUCUUUUUUAAGCUCUUAUUUUAAAAGAAGUUUGCGACCUCGAUGUUGAAUUAGUGUAACUUAAUGGGUGCAGUAACUUUAAAAGUAGGUCUGUUCGACCUUUGAAUCACUACAUGAUCU